RNAcentral lists this ribosomal RNA (492 nucleotides) under uncultured bacterium. Its description in RNAcentral is "partial 16S ribosomal RNA". It matches the Rfam family "Bacterial small subunit ribosomal RNA", at positions 29 to 507 of the family's 1533-position model. The record is from RNAcentral.
AGUGAACGCUGGCGGUAGGCCUAACACAUGCAAGUCGAACGGCAGCACAGUAAGAGCUUGCCCUUACGGGUGGCGAGUGGCGGACGGGUGAGGAAUACAUCGGAAUCUACUUUUUCGUGGGGGAUAACGUAGGGAAACUUACGCUAAUACCGCAUACGACCUACGGGUGAAAGCAGGAGAUCUUCGGACCUUGCGCGAUUGAAUGAGACGAUGUCGGAUUAGCUAGUUGGCGGGGUAAGGGCCCACCAAGGCGACGAUCCGUAGCUGGUCUGAGAGGAUGAUCAGCCACACUGGAACUGAGACACGGUCCAGACUCCUACGGGAGGCAGCAGUAGGGAAUAUUGGACAAUGGGCGCAAGCCUGAUCCAGCCAUACCGCGUGGGUGAAGAAGGUCUUCGGGUUGUAAAGCCCUUUUGUUGGGAAAGAAAAGCAGCAUGUUAAUACCCCGCUGUUCUGACGGUACCUAAAGAGUAAGCACCGGCUAACUUCGUG